GAUCUUCUUCGGAAUUGACGUUUUGUAGACUGAGUGGCGGACGGGUGAGUAACGCGUGGGUAACCUGCCCUGUACAGGGGGAUAACAGUCAGAAAUGACUGCUAAUACCGCAUAAGACCACAGCACCGCACGGUGCAGGGGUAAAAACUCCGGUGGUACAGGAUGGACCCGCGUCUGAUUAGCUGGUUGGUGAGGUAACGGCUCACCAAGGCGACGAUCAGUAGCCGGCUUGAGAGAGUGAACGGCCACAUUGGGACUGAGACACGGCCCAAACUCCUACGGGAGGCAGCAGUGGGGAAUAUUGCACAAUGGGGGGAACCCUGAUGCAGCGACGCCGCGUGAGUGAAGAAGUAUCUCGGUAUGUAAAGCUCUAUCAGCAGGGAAGAAAAUGACGGUACCUGACUAAGAAGCCCCGGCUAACUACGUGCCAGCAGCCGCGGUAAUACGUAGGGGGCAAGCGUUAUCCGGAAUUACUGGGUGUAAAGGGUGCGUAGGUGGUAUGGCAAGUCAGAAGUGAAAACCCAGGGCUUAACUCUGGGACUGCUUUUGAAACUGUCAGACUGGAGUGCAGGAGAGGUAAGCGGAAUUCCUAGUGUAGCGGUGAAAUGCGUAGAUAUUAGGAGGAACAUCAGUGGCGAAGGCGGCUUACUGGACUGAAA
RNAcentral lists this ribosomal RNA (659 nucleotides) under uncultured Lachnospiraceae bacterium. Its description in RNAcentral is "bacterial SSU rRNA". It matches the Rfam family "Bacterial small subunit ribosomal RNA", at positions 64 to 739 of the family's 1533-position model. The record is from RNAcentral. Lineage: Bacteria; Bacillati; Bacillota; Clostridia; Lachnospirales; Lachnospiraceae.